RNAcentral lists this ribosomal RNA (254 nucleotides) under uncultured bacterium. RNAcentral describes it as "partial 16S ribosomal RNA". It matches the Rfam family "Bacterial small subunit ribosomal RNA", at positions 524 to 776 of the family's 1533-position model. The record is from RNAcentral.
UACGUAGGGUGCGAGCGUUAAUCGGAAUUACUGGGCGUAAAGCGUGCGCAGGCGGUUUUGUAAGCCAGAUGUGAAAGCCCCGGGCUUAACCUGGGAAUGGCAUUUGGGACUGCAAGGCUUGAGUGCGGCAGAGGAGACUGGAAUUCCUGGUGUAGCAGUGAAAUGCGUAGAUAUCAGGAGGAAUACCGAUGGCGAAGGCAGGUCUCUGGGCUGACACUGACGCUCAUGCACCGAAAGCGUGGGGAGCAAACAGG